Molecule: long non-coding RNA, 347 nt
Filed under: Lathyrus oleraceus (garden pea)
Lineage: Eukaryota; Viridiplantae; Streptophyta; Magnoliopsida; Fabales; Fabaceae
Description: Pisum sativum (pea) long non-coding RNA (PSAT_LNC016726)
Source: RNAcentral
AGAUACUGUUGUUUAUGAUUGGACACACUGGUUAAGAUUAACAUCAGAACCACGAGCAUGAGCUUUGAACUCAGAGGUAUGAUAGAACAAGUCAGCUUAACCCGUCCUGGUGAGAUCAGAAAAAGCCAAACACUUAUCAUCAUAUGAGAGAUAUCAGGUAUGUCUUUAUCAAUCUUAGUUUGCGUAUGUUCUUUUGUUAUUAUUAGCUGUACGACUACACACACUGAGGCAUGUUUUUGUUUAUCACCUAGAGCCUUUCUAGCCAUCCCAUUAUUAUUAUUAUCCAUUGUUUUACCCUGUUGAGCCUGUUAAUCAUUUAUUUUUGAUAUACCCGUUUUUUUUUCUAA